Molecule: ribosomal RNA, 433 nt
Filed under: uncultured bacterium
Lineage: Bacteria
Description: partial 16S ribosomal RNA
Rfam family: Bacterial small subunit ribosomal RNA
Source: RNAcentral
AACGAACGCUGGCGGCAUGCCUAACACAUGCAAGUCGAACGAUACCUUCGGGUCUAUUGGCGCACGGGUGGGUAACGCCUGGGAAGUUACACUUGGGUUCGGAAUAUCCGUUGGAAACGUCUGCUAAUACCGGAUGAUGACGUAAUUCCAAAGAUUUAUGGCCCAAGGAUGAGCCGGCGUAGGAUUAGCUAGUUGGUGAGGUAAGGGGGGACGAAGGCGACGAUCCUUAGCUGGUCAGAGAGGAAGAUCAGCCACACUGGGACUGGGACACGGCCGAGACUCUGGGGGGAGGGAGCAAUGGGGGAUAUUGGAAUGUGGGGGAGAGGCUGAAGGAGCAAGGCCGCGUGAGUGCUGAAGGCCUUAGGGUUGUGGAGCUGUUUUACCCGGGGUGAUGAUGACGGUACCGGGAGAAUAAGCGCCGGCUAACUACGUG